AGAUUGAACGCUGGCGGCAGGCCUAACACAUGCAAGUCGAGCGGCAGCACGGGUACUUGUACCUGGUGGCGAGCGGCGGACGGGUGAGUAAUGCCUAGGAAUCUGCCUGAUAGUGGGGGAUAACGGUUCGGAAACGGACGCUAAUACCGCAUACGUCCUACGGGAGAAAGUGGGGGAUCUUCGGACCUCACGCUAUCAGAUGAGCCUAGGUCGGAUUAGCUAGUUGGUAGGUAAAGGCCUACCAAGGCUACGAUCCGUAACUCGGUCUGAGAGGAUGAUCAGUCACACUGGAACUGAGACACGGUCAGCUCCGACGGGAGCGAGCGAGGUAGGGAAUAGUUAGGAACAAGUGGGACGAAAGCCUAGACUCAGCCAGUCGCCGCGUGUGUGGAA
RNAcentral lists this ribosomal RNA (393 nucleotides) under uncultured soil bacterium. Its description in RNAcentral is "bacterial SSU rRNA". It matches the Rfam family "Bacterial small subunit ribosomal RNA", at positions 26 to 410 of the family's 1533-position model. The record is from RNAcentral.